CCAUGGCGAACGGGUGAGUAACACGUUAGGUAACCGUGUCUUUAAGCCGAGGAUAACCAUUGGAAACGAUGGAUAAUACUGGAUAGGACAUUUGAAGGCAUCUUUAGAUGUUUAAAGAUUUAUCACUUAGAGAGGGGCCUGCGGCGCAUUAGCUAGUUGGUGAGGUGAAGGCUUACCAAGGCGAUGAUGCGUAGCCGGACUGAGAGGUUGAACGGCCACAAUGGAACUGAGAACGGUCCAUACUCCUACGGGAGGCAGCAGUAGGGAAUUUUCGGCAAUGGGCGGAAGCCUGAACCCGAGCAACGCCGCGUGAACGAAGAAGUAUUUCGGUAUGUAAAGUUCUUUUAUUAGGGACGAAAAGACAGAUUGACGGUACCUAAUGAAUAAGCUCCGGCUAACUACGUGCCAGCAGCGGC
Molecule: ribosomal RNA, 416 nt
Filed under: uncultured bacterium
Lineage: Bacteria
Description: bacterial SSU rRNA
Rfam family: Bacterial small subunit ribosomal RNA
Source: RNAcentral